GAUGAACGCUGGCGGCGUGCUUAACACAUGCAAGUCGAACGAAGCACUUUAUUUGAUUUCCUUCGGGACUGAUUAUUUUGUGACUGAGUGGCGGACGGGUGAGUAACGCGUGGGUAACCUGCCUUGUACAGGGGGAUAACAGUUGGAAACGGCUGCUAAUACCGCAUAAGCGCACAGCAUCGCAUGAUGCAGUGUGAAAAACUCCGGUGGUAUAAGAUGGACCCGCGUUGGAUUAGCUAGUUGGUGAGGUAACGGCCCACCAAGGCGACGAUCCAUAGCCGACCUGAGAGGGUGACCGGCCACAUUGGGACUGAGACACGGCCCAAACUCCUACGGGAGGCAGCAGUGGGGAAUAUUGCACAAUGGGCGAAAGCCUGAUGCAGCGACGCCGCGUGAGCGAAGAAGUAUUUCGGUAUGUAAAGCUCUAUUAGCAGGGAAGAUAAUGACGGUACCUGACGAAGAAGCACCGGCUAAAUACGUG
This 481-nucleotide ribosomal RNA is filed under the name uncultured bacterium. Its description in RNAcentral is "partial 16S ribosomal RNA". It matches the Rfam family "Bacterial small subunit ribosomal RNA", at positions 28 to 507 of the family's 1533-position model. The record is from RNAcentral.